Molecule: ribosomal RNA, 478 nt
Filed under: uncultured bacterium
Lineage: Bacteria
Description: partial 16S ribosomal RNA
Rfam family: Bacterial small subunit ribosomal RNA
Source: RNAcentral
GACGAACGCUGGCGGCGUGCUUAACACAUGCAAGUCGAACGGUAAGGCCCUUCGGGGUACACGAGUGGCGAACGGGUGAGUAACACGUGGGUGAUCUGCCCUGCACUUCGGGAUAAGCCUGGGAAACUGGGUCUAACACCGGAUAGGACCACUGCCGGCAUGGGUGGUGGUGGAAAGCUUUUGCGGUGUGGGAUGGGCCCGCGGCCUAUCAGCGUGUUGGUGGGGUGUUGGCCUACCAAGGCGACGAAGGGUAGCCGGCCUGAGAGGGUGACCGGCCACACUGGGACUGAGAUACGGCCCAGACUCCUACGGGAGGCAGCAGUGGGGAAUAUUGCACAAUGGGCGCAAGCCUGAUGCAGCGACGCCGCGUGAGGGAUGACGGCCUUCGGGUUGUAAACCUCUUUCAGCACCGACGAAGCGCAAGUGACGGUAGGUGCAGAAGAAGGACCGGCCAACUACGUGCCAGCCGCCGCAGUAA